CAGUCGCCACGGUAAUACGAAGGGGGCUAGCGUUGCUCGGAAUGACUGGGCGUAAAGGGCGCGUAGGCGGCUCAUACAGUCAGGCGUGAAAGUCCUGGGCUCAACCUGGGGUGGUCGCUUGAGACGUGUGGGCUAGAGUGGGGAAGAGGGUCGUGGAAUUCCCAGUGUAGAGGUGAAAUUCGUAGAUAUUGGGAAGAGCACCGGUGGCGAAGGCGGCGACCUGGUCCUUUUACUGACGCUGAGGCGCGAAAGCGUGGGGAGCAAACAGGAUUAGAUACCCCGGUAGUCCCUGUCUCUUAUU
This 301-nucleotide ribosomal RNA is filed under the name uncultured bacterium. RNAcentral's name for it is "partial 16S ribosomal RNA". It matches the Rfam family "Bacterial small subunit ribosomal RNA", at positions 509 to 808 of the family's 1533-position model. The record is from RNAcentral.